CGGGGGGGGGCAAGCGUUGUUCGGAAUUACUGGGCGUAAAGGGUUCGUAGGUGGCCCGCUAAGUCACACGUGAAAUCCCUCAGCUUAACUGGGGAACUGCGUGUGAGACUGGCAGGCUUGAGUGCAGGAGAGGAACGCGGAAUUCCAGGUGUAGCGGUGAAAUGCGUAGAUAUCUGGAGGAACACCGGUGGCGAAGGCGGCGUUCUGGACUGUAUCUGACACUGAGGAACGAAAGCCAGGGGAGCAAACGGGAUUAGAUACCCCGGUAGUCCUGGCCCUAAACGAUGAAUGCUUGGUGUGACGGGUAUCGAUCCCUGUCGUGCCGCAGUUAACGCGUUAAGCAUUCCGCCUGGGGAGUACGGUCGCAAGGCUG
Molecule: ribosomal RNA, 373 nt
Filed under: uncultured organism
Description: bacterial SSU rRNA
Rfam family: Bacterial small subunit ribosomal RNA
Source: RNAcentral